Molecule: ribosomal RNA, 501 nt
Filed under: uncultured bacterium
Lineage: Bacteria
Description: partial 16S ribosomal RNA
Rfam family: Bacterial small subunit ribosomal RNA
Source: RNAcentral
AUUGAACGCUGGCGGCAGGCUUAACACAUGCAAGUCGAGCGGGGAAGGGUAGCUUGCUACCUGACCUAGCGGCGGACGGGUGAGUAAUGCUUAGGAAUCUGCCUAUUAGUGGGGGACAACAUUCCGAAAGGAAUGCUAAUACCGCAUACGCCCCACGGGGGAAAGCAGGGGAUCUUCGGACCUUGCGCUAAUAGAUGAGCCUAAGUCAGAUUAGCUAGUUGGUAGGGUAAAGGCCUACCAAGGCGACGAUCUGUAGCGGGUCUGAGAGGAUGGUCCGCCACACUGGGACUGAGACACGGCCCAGACUCCUACGGGAGGCAGCAGUGGGGAAUAUUGGACAAUGGGCGCAAGCCUGAUCCAGCCAUGCCGCGUGUGUGAAGAAGGCCUUUUGGUUGUAAAGCACUUUAAGCGAGGAGGAGGCUACUGAGAUUAAUACUCUUGGGUAGUGGACGUUACUCGCAGAAUAAGCACCGGCUAACUCUGUGCCAGCCGCCGCGGUAA